RNAcentral lists this ribosomal RNA (233 nucleotides) under uncultured bacterium. RNAcentral's name for it is "partial 16S ribosomal RNA". It matches the Rfam family "Bacterial small subunit ribosomal RNA", at positions 118 to 351 of the family's 1533-position model. The record is from RNAcentral.
UGAGCAACCUACCGAACUGUGGGGGAUAGCCGGCCUAACGGCCGAGUAAUACCGCAUACGCUCUCAGGGAGGCAUUUCUUUGAGAGGAAACCUACGGGACAGAUCGAGGGGCUCGCGGCCUAUCAGCUAGUUGGCGAGGUAACGGCUCACCAAGGCAACGACGGGUAGCUGGUCUGAGAGGAUGGCCAGCCACAUUGGGACUGAGAUACGGCCCAGACUCCUACGGGAGGNAG